CCCGCUGAACUUAAGCAUAUCAAUAAGCGGAGGAAAAGAAACUAACAAGGAUUCCCCUAGUAACUGCGAGUGAAGCGGGAAGAGCUCAAAUUUAAAAUCUGGCGUGCCUCUGGCUGUCCGAGUUGUAGUCUGGAGAAGCGUUUUCCGUGUUGGACCGUGUAUAAGUCUCUUGGAACAGGGCGUCAUAGAGGGUGAGAAUCCCGUCUUUGACACGGACUACUAAUGCUUUGUGAUGCGCUCUCAAAGAGUCGAGUUGUUUGGGAAUGCAGCUCAAAAUGGGUGGUAAAUUCCAUCUAAAGCUAAAUAUAGGCGAGAGACCGAUAGCGAACAAGUACCGUGAGGGAAAGAUGAAAAGCACUUUGGAAAGAGAGUUAAACAGUACGUGAAAUUGCUGAAAGGGAAACGCUUGAAGUCAGUCGUGUCUGCCAGGACUCAGCCUUGCUUCUGCUUGGUGUACUUUCUGGUCGGAUGGGCCAACAUCAAUUUCAACCGUUGGAGAAAGGCUUUGGGAAUGUGGCACCCUUGGGUGUGUUAUAGCCCUUUGUUGUAUACAACGGUUGGGAUUGAGGACUGCAGCACGCCUUUAUGGCCGGGGGUUUACCCACGUACGUGCUUAGGAUGUUGGCAUAAUGGCUUUAAGCGACCCGUCUUGAAACACGG
This 660-nucleotide ribosomal RNA is filed under the name uncultured fungus. RNAcentral's name for it is "eukaryotic LSU rRNA". It matches the Rfam family "Eukaryotic large subunit ribosomal RNA", at positions 24 to 664 of the family's 3401-position model. Lineage: Eukaryota; Fungi. The record is from RNAcentral.